GUAUGUUUGCUUGUUGUGUAUUAAUUUAAUUUCAAAAUAUGCGUGUUACCAUCUUUAGGCAAAAGCACGUGUAGGGUCUCAAGUUCUUGUAACAGGUUACCUCAGUAUUUUUUUUUGCUAUUGAGCGUUAGUAAUUUUAUUUCAUUUUCCCAAAUAGUUACUAAUGUAUUCAUGGAAGCGUGAUGUAUGAAAGAUUAUUUACGAAAGCGUAUCGACAAGUGCUUAGCUCUGCGGAUUUUAUUUCAUUAAGAUGACCUAAAAUCCUUGACCACGCGCCGGGGUAUUGUAACGUAAAUACGUUACGUAACCUAGGUUACAUAUAUAUUAAGAAGUUUUAUUGAUUCAUAGCUAACUUACAUUCCAAUAUAAACGUAAUUAAUUCAUAAGAAACACUUACCUGCUUAUACUAGAUACGAAUAAUUAAAAGCGAUACAUUCAAAUCGUAAUAUUUAAGUUAUAAUUGCAUCCUGAUCCUGACCUAUGCAUUGCGCACUUUACCUUGCGCGACAUUCCUUCGUUGUAAAACCGGCCGGUGGCGCUCCCCGCCCCGCGCCUUACUCCACCGCUCCCGCGCGGCUUCACAGCUCGGGGCAGACAGAUUGAGACAUCGGCGCCGGCGCACGUUCGCUUUGCUCAAAGCUCGCGACUAUACAUGUAGCCGGCGUGAUUUUAAAUUUAUUUAAUUCCUAAUACGUCUUAGUGCUCGUUUAGUACCAAGUAACGUUUGUAUUUAGUGUUUAAAUCCCCAAUUGGGGAGCCAUAUUACGGCUGGAACUACAGCCCAGGCCGGGUUACGACGGUUCCGGAACCUCUACACAAGUUCCGGCAGAUCCGGAGCGGAGCGGCUGACGUCCCUCGGCGCGUUCCGUCUUCAGCCCGCAACGACACCAGCAGCUUCAGGGGAGUACUUGCGUGGUGGACCUGACCUCGGAGCAAAAUCAGUAUCGGCCUUACGAACCCACACCUAACGACCUUUGUUCGUGUGCUCACGCGGAGUUACGGCGAGAAUAAACCAGUUCUUUAUUUUAA
This is a long non-coding RNA of Leguminivora glycinivorella, 1029 nucleotides long. RefSeq lists it as uncharacterized. Lineage: Eukaryota; Metazoa; Arthropoda; Insecta; Lepidoptera; Tortricidae. The transcript has 2 exons. The record is from RefSeq and is a predicted model, not a curated record.